This 400-nucleotide long non-coding RNA is filed under the name Mytilus galloprovincialis (Mediterranean mussel). The record is from RNAcentral. Lineage: Eukaryota; Metazoa; Mollusca; Bivalvia; Mytilida; Mytilidae.
AUAUUUAAGUCUCCCAAACAAAGUUUGGAGACUUAUUGUUUUUGCUCAGUUCUUAUUAGGUCUUUCCACUUUUCUGUGGAAAGACCUAUUGUUUUUCUUCUGAUUAUUAGGUCUUUCCACUUUUCUGUGGAAAGACCUAUUGUUUUUCUUCUGAUUAUUAGGUCUUUCCACUUUCCUGUGGAAAGACCUAUUGUUUUUCUUCUGAUUAUUUUUUUUUUUUUUUCUUCCGCCUAAUUUUGUUCUUGCGAUAAACAUUUGUUUCGCAAUAUGUCGCUUAGAUAUUUUGUAUAUGAUAUCGAACAGUUUAUGCGCUUUUGAAAUUUACCCUGCGUAAACAAAUACUUUUCUUUGUAGGAGUUAUCUCCCCAAACACUGUUUUCCUUGUUAGCGCAUCUUCUUC